Molecule: non-coding RNA, 1776 nt
Organism: Malus domestica (apple)
Lineage: Eukaryota; Viridiplantae; Streptophyta; Magnoliopsida; Rosales; Rosaceae
Source: RefSeq, a predicted model, not a curated record
AUUGGCCGAUCCACAAGAGGGUCCUAAUUUGUUUGAGGACUGGCAGGUUUCUCUUGCCCUUGAGUGUAAAGAUGCAGAAAAUAGGGGCAUUCAUCCUCCUGUUGACGUAAGAGAUGAACGAACAUUCAUCCACCUGUCAACCAAAUAGUCCCAGCUUGCAACUUAUGUUGUGAGAUCGAUCCCGGAGGGAACCGUCGUCUAUAACGUUGAGCACCAUGUUGGGGACCGUGGAACCCUCGCUAGGGCGUCUGGUGAUUACGCUGUUGUUAUCAGCCACAACCCUGACAACAUACCUCCAGAAGAUUUGUGAAGUCGCUGUGAUUUCAUGUUGUUUCUGAAGAGAAGAGAAAGCUGCUGGGUUCAGUAAAACGGAACUGACUUUCUUGCCUUUUUAAUAAUUCUGGGAUUUGAUUUAGAUCUUUCUUAUUCCCCCAACUUUUUGUUUUGGGGUUUUGUUACAAAUUGCCCAUCUGGGGUAUUCUGUACAUUUCAAAAUCUGUGGGAAUUUUCCCUUUUUUCUUUUAUUUAUUUUUAUUGAUUCCACCCAAUUGGAUCUGAUGUUGCCGAACAAAUUGAUUAAUUUGGUUCAUUUGCUGUUAGGACAGUUGCAAUUUUAAGUAUCUUUUCGAUCUCUGCUUCACGAUCUUCUUGCCACCUCAUCCUGCACCCAAUUUCUCUAGCCUUCAAGAGCUUCAUAAAACUGGUCUCUAUUUCUAGAGUUCUGAUCCCUCCCCGGGGGGGGGGGGGGGGGGGGGGGGAAGGAGAUUUGGCCCUUUUUGCAUUCGAAUCCAUCUGGGAUUGACGAGAGUCAGAUUAAUUCUUAUCAAAUUGGUCGCACGGACCAUGAGGACGACAUCCUCCAAACCCUCUACAUAAGCAUCGAGUUGCAGUUUUUGUUAUCUCGGUUCAUAAAUCUCGGAUUUGGCAGGAAUUGGAAGGGCGCUGUUAUUUUUUGGAGCCAACGAUAUGUUGUUAACGAAGGCAAAAACAAGAUGCAGUUUGCUGCAUAUAGAAAACGGAGGGAUCUUAUUGAAGCAAGGAACAAGAAUUGAAUUAUUUUAUUGCAGAGCUCAGGAUAAACUUUGCUUCUUUACAACAGAAAAAUAUACGAAAUAAGAGUUGGAUAAGAUGGCUGCAGUAGAAUCUCUCAUUAGGAAAGAGAGGCUAGACUUGAAAUUGAGCGAUCAUGAAAUUCCCUCUUGGAUGUGCACAUGACAAGACUAGAUCAAACUAUAAGUCAAACUCCCAUUGCAGAGCAAACUAUGAGUCAAACCCCCAUUUCAGAAUAAGCUGGGAACGAGGAGGCACAAUAGGGCAUGGCUAUUUCCGGGGCAUCGGUCAUUUUGAGAUUCUGGUAACAUGUAUACAAGUUAGCUUAUUUUUAGACUGACGCAGGAAGACCAAGGGUCUCGAAAAAACGAGGGAUAGAUAACCUGGGAAUCACUCAUCCAGGGGCAACGGAGCUCAUUCACGUCGCUAAUCGUGGAUUCGCUCACAUGACCAAGCCAAAUGCUUGAUUUUAAAAUGAGAAAUCACUCCAAUUGCACAAAGCAAAAUAUAUUUUGAUUCAUUCCAAUCUCCAUUCUCAAGGGUUUAGUACAUAUAUUUAUAAGGAAUACAACACCAUGAAACUCUAGUCCGAAUUGGACUUUUGCUCUACCCUAAAAAUACUUAAAAUGUUCUUAAAUGACUACUUAACUAUUUGUGUUGCUCUAAAACUCAAUUAAAUAUAUUUGAUGGUUCCAAUAUGCAUGAGACUCUUGGUAGAUUCCAAUA